GUCCGGCAGCACGUAUACUAAAAUUGGAAUGAUACAGAGAAGAUUAGCAACGCCCCUGUGCAAGGAUGACACACAAAUUCGGGAAGCGUUCCAUGUUUUU
Molecule: small nuclear RNA, 100 nt
Filed under: Choloepus hoffmanni (Hoffmann's two-fingered sloth)
Lineage: Eukaryota; Metazoa; Chordata; Mammalia; Pilosa; Megalonychidae
Source: RNAcentral